GCCCAGAUGAUCAUCGGUGGUCCGUUGUCCGGGCUUCAAACCCGUAGCUGAUGAGGAGUUUGAGUGGUUCGAUUCCACGUUCUGGGCG
Molecule: non-coding RNA, 88 nt
Organism: Trichonephila clavipes
Lineage: Eukaryota; Metazoa; Arthropoda; Arachnida; Araneae; Nephilidae
Source: the annotation of a GenBank genome assembly